CUCAUUGUAAUAUAAUAAUGGUAAUAGGACCUACCUGAAAGCAUUGUGGGGAGAAUUUAGUGAGUGAGUAUAUGUAAAGUGCUUCAAAUGCUGUAAAGCACUAUAGGGCUGUUAACCAUUAUUGUUGUUUUUAAGAUUUACACUCCUCUUCCUAGGACUGGUCAAGUCUAGGACUCAAUGCAGUUGCCUUGGCUGUUGUUCACCAGCAUGGAAGGUGCUGGUCUGAAUGCUGGGAGGGUGGGGCAGGUAUGUCUCUUGACUCUUGCAUCUCAUAGCACAUCUCUGACUGACCACUAGGCACCAAGCUAGAUCUGGCCGGCUGUGUGCACAGACAUAAAGGACGGAAUGUUCUGGCUACUACCUCUGCAAAACAAGAAUGCUGUCAACCUGAGAGAGGAAGGAAUGUUCACUACCUACCUCUCCCUCCUUUCACUGCAGACGAGAACUCUCUGUACUUGGGAGUCAUACUGGUCCUGACCACACAGCAGCCACAUAAGGACACCUGCGGGAACUUUCCCUCUUCCAUACUGGAGUGCUUCUUCCCUAGUAAUUCAGUACAGGUCCCUGGAGCCUUGGACACUCACCAAAGACCCCUGCAUCUCCAAGGCCUUGGAAUGGAGGUUUGUCACAGCCAGUGGUUCAUGGUGGGCGGGGUUGGGGGUGGGGACUCUGUUGGUACCAGGGCUUGCUUCUGCCAGAGCGCAGACAGCGAAAAGAGCCAAGUUUUACAGUUAGAUCUGUUUGCAAAUCCCAGCUCUGUCAAUUUCACAACUGUGUGACCUUAGUCAAAGUAUUUCACUUCUCUGAGGGCCUCAGUUUCCCUCCGGUGUGACUCAUAGGAGGUGUAAGUUAUGUUUGUAAAUGUAUAGACACAAGACUAAAACUGUAGUUGUCCCUGCAGAAGGGACCCAAGGGACAGGAAAGGAGAGAGACUAACUUUUCACUGUGUGUGUGUGAGCACGUGCGGGCACACACACACACACACGAUCAGUCCUGUCCGACUCUUCGUGACCCCAUGGACUGUAGCCCACCAGGCUCCUCUGUCCAUGGGAUGUUCCAGGCAAGAAUACUGGAGCGGGUUGCCAUUUCCUACUAGAG
Long non-coding RNA from Bos indicus x Bos taurus (hybrid cattle), 1098 nucleotides. Lineage: Eukaryota; Metazoa; Chordata; Mammalia; Artiodactyla; Bovidae. The record is from Ensembl.